RNAcentral lists this ribosomal RNA (496 nucleotides) under uncultured bacterium. RNAcentral's name for it is "partial 16S ribosomal RNA". It matches the Rfam family "Bacterial small subunit ribosomal RNA", at positions 28 to 506 of the family's 1533-position model. The record is from RNAcentral.
GAUGAACGCUGGCGGCGUGCCUAAUACAUGCAAGUCGAGCGAACAGACGAGGAGCUUGCUCCUUUGACGUUAGCGGCGGACGGGUGAGUAACACGUAGGUAACCUACCUAUAAGACUGGGAUAACUUCGGGAAACCGGAGCUAAUACCGGAUAAUAUUUCGAACCGCAUGGUUCGAUAGUGAAAGAUGGCUUUGCUAUCACUUAUAGAUGGACCUGCGCCGUAUUAGCUAGUUGGUAAGGUAACGGCUUACCAAGGCAACGAUACGUAGCCGACCUGAGAGGGGGAUCGGCCACACUGGAACUGAGACACGGUCCAGACUCCUACGGGAGGCAGCAGUAGGGAAUCUUCCGCAAUGGGCGAAAGCCUGACGGAGCAACGCCGCGUGAGUGAUGAAGGUCUUCGGAUCGUAAAACUCUGUUAUUAGGGAAGAACAAACGUGUAAGUAACUGUGCACGUCUUGACGGUACCUAAUCAGAAAGCCACGGCUAACUACGU